UACAGAGGUCCCGAGCGUUGUUCGGAUUCACUGGGCGUAAAGGGUGCGCAGGUGGGCUGGUAAGUUCGAUGUGAAAGCCCCGGGCUUAACCCGGGAAUGGCAUUGGAUACUACUGGUCUGGAGGAUUGGAGGGGGGACUGGAAUUCUUGGUGUAGCAGUGAAAUGCGUAGAUAUCAAGAGGAACACCAGUGGCGAAGGCGAGUCCCUGGACAAUACCUGACACUGAGGCACGAAAGCCAAGGGAGCAAACAGG
This 253-nucleotide ribosomal RNA is filed under the name uncultured bacterium. Its description in RNAcentral is "partial 16S ribosomal RNA". It matches the Rfam family "Bacterial small subunit ribosomal RNA", at positions 524 to 776 of the family's 1533-position model. The record is from RNAcentral.